Molecule: transfer RNA, 85 nt
Filed under: Clostridiales bacterium
Lineage: Bacteria; Bacillati; Bacillota; Clostridia; Eubacteriales
Description: tRNA-Leu
Rfam family: tRNA
About the family: Transfer RNA (tRNA) molecules are approximately 80 nucleotides in length. Their secondary structure includes four short double-helical elements and three loops (D, anti-codon, and T loops).
Source: RNAcentral
GCGGAUGUGAUGGAAUUGGCAGACAUGCAGGAUUUAGGUUCCUGUGCCGAAAGGCGUGUGGGUUCGAGUCCCUUCAUCCGCACCA